RNAcentral lists this ribosomal RNA (638 nucleotides) under uncultured bacterium. Its description in RNAcentral is "bacterial SSU rRNA". It matches the Rfam family "Bacterial small subunit ribosomal RNA", at positions 77 to 699 of the family's 1533-position model. The record is from RNAcentral.
GCUUCCGCUGAGAAGAUAGUGGCGAACGGGUGAGUAACACGUGGGUAACCUGGCCAUAAGAGGGGGAUAACAUCCGGAAACGGGUGCUAAUACCGCAUAGUUUUCUUGAUCGCAUGAUUGAGAAAGGAAAGACGGCCUUUGUGCUGUCGCUUAUGGAUGGACCCGCGGCGUAUUAGUUAGUUGGUGAGGUAACGGCUCACCAAGACGAUGAUACGUAGCCGACCUGAGAGGGUGAUCGGCCACAUUGGGACUGAGACACGGCCCAAACUCCUACGGGAGGCAGCAGUAGGGAAUCUUCCGCAAUGGACGAAAGUCUGACGGAGCAACGCCGCGUGAGUGAAGAAGGUUUUCGGAUCGUAAAACUCUGUUGUCAGAGAAGAACAAGUCGGAGAGUAACUGCUCCGGCCUUGACGGUAUCUGACCAGAAAGCCACGGCUAACUACGUGCCAGCAGCCGCGGUAAUACGUAGGUGGCAAGCGUUGUCCGGAUUUAUUGGGCGUAAAGCGAGCGCAGGCGGUUCCUUAAGUCUGAUGUGAAAGCCCACGGCUCAACCGUGGAAGGUCAUUGGAAACUGGGGAACUUGAGUGCAGAAGAGGAGAGUGGAAUUCCAUGUGUAGCGGUGAAAUGCGUAGAUAUAU